Molecule: long non-coding RNA, 392 nt
Filed under: Linum usitatissimum (flax)
Lineage: Eukaryota; Viridiplantae; Streptophyta; Magnoliopsida; Malpighiales; Linaceae
Description: long non-coding RNA (LUSI_LNC005418)
Source: RNAcentral
UAAGGUGGCAUAGGAUGUCCUGGAGGAGGAGGAGGAGGGUACAUGGUUGAUCCAGGAGGAGGCGGCGGAUAAGUAGCAUAUGAAGGGGGAACAGGAGGUCCCCACGGAACAGGAGCCCCAUAGUUUGGAGGAGGUGGAGCAUAGUUUCCAGGAGGGCCACUUGGAAGAGGACCACCCGGGAUGAAUUGCUGACAUGGAUAGGCACCAGGAGGUUGACUUGAUACAGGGUAUGUGGGCAUGUUUGAUGCAGGCGGGCCAGGAGGAACAGGAGGUUGAGGAGGCUUACCAGCAACCCUCACAGCAAUCGAACGACCUUCAACCCGAGCUCCAUUCAUGCCAGUAAUUGCUGAAUUAGCCAUUUGAACAUCACGAUACUUGACAAAGCCAUACCC